This 307-nucleotide unclassified non-coding RNA is filed under the name plant metagenome. RNAcentral describes it as "partial contains 5.8S ribosomal RNA, internal transcribed spacer 2, and large subunit ribosomal RNA". The stretch from base 1 to 105 matches the Rfam family "5.8S ribosomal RNA", at positions 50 to 154 of the family's 154-position model. The record is from RNAcentral.
GAAAUGCGAUAAGUAAUAUGAAUUGCAGAAUUCAGUGAAUCAUCUAAUCUUUGAACGCACAUUGCGCCCGCCAGCACUCUGGCGGGCAUGCCUGUUCGAGCGUCAUUUCAACCCUCAGAACCCCUUGCGGGAUCUGGCGUUGGGGAUUGGCAUCCAGCCAGCCCCGAAAUCUAGUGGCGGUCCCUCCGCGACCUCCCCUGUGCAGUAGCGAUACCUCGCAGCGGGACAGCGGUCUGACCACGCCGUAAAACCCCCAACUUCUCAAGGUUGACCUCGAAUCAGGUAGGAAUACCCGCUGAACUUAAGC